Molecule: ribosomal RNA, 253 nt
Filed under: uncultured bacterium
Lineage: Bacteria
Description: partial 16S ribosomal RNA
Rfam family: Bacterial small subunit ribosomal RNA
Source: RNAcentral
CACGUAGGGCGCAAGCGUUGUCCGGAAUUAUUGGGCGUAAAGAGCUCGUAGGCGGUCUGUUGCGUCCGCUGUGAAAACCCGGGGCUUAACCCCUGGCUUGCAGUGGAUACGGACAGACUAGAGGUAGGUAGGGGAGAAUGGAAUUCCCGGUAUAGCGGUGAAAUGCGCAGAUAUCGGGAGGAACACCGGUGGCGAAGGCGGUUCUCUGGGCCUUACCUGACGCUGAGGAGCGAAAGCGUGGGGAGCAAACAGG